This 253-nucleotide ribosomal RNA is filed under the name uncultured bacterium. RNAcentral describes it as "partial 16S ribosomal RNA". It matches the Rfam family "Bacterial small subunit ribosomal RNA", at positions 524 to 776 of the family's 1533-position model. The record is from RNAcentral.
UACGUAGGUGGCAAGCGUUGUCCGGAUUUACUGGGCGUAAAGAGCGCGCAGGCGGCCGAGUAAGUCGAAUGUGAAAGCCCCCGGCUUAACUGGGGAGGGUCAUUCGAUACUGUUUAACUUGAAGGCAGGAGAGGGUAGUGGAAUUCCCGGUGUAGUGGUGAAAUGCGUAGAUAUCGGGAGGAACACCAGUGGCGAAGGCGGCUCACUGGUCCGGUACUGACGCUGAGGUGCGAAAGCGUGGGGAGCAAACAGG